This 484-nucleotide ribosomal RNA is filed under the name uncultured bacterium. RNAcentral's name for it is "partial 16S ribosomal RNA". It matches the Rfam family "Bacterial small subunit ribosomal RNA", at positions 30 to 507 of the family's 1533-position model. The record is from RNAcentral.
AUUGAACGCUGGCGGCAGGCCUAACACAUGCAAGUCGAGCGGAUGAAGGGAGCUUGCUCCUGGAUUCAGCGGCGGACGGGUGAGUAAUGCCUAGGAAUCUGCCUGGUAGUGGGGGAUAACGUCCGGAAACGGGCGCUAAUACCGCAUACGUCCUGAGGGAGAAAGUGGGGGAUCUUCGGACCUCACGCUAUCAGAUGAGCCUAGGUCGGAUUAGCUAGUUGGUGGGGUGAAGGCCUACCAAGGCGACGAUCCGUAACUGGUCUGAGAGGAUGAUCAGUCACACUGGAACUGAGACACGGUCCAGACUCCUACGGGAGGCAGCAGUGGGGAAUAUUGGACAAAGGGCGAAAGCCUGAUCCAGCCAUGCCGCGUGUGUGAAGAAGGUCUUCGGAUUGUAAAGCACUUUAAGUUGGGAGGAAGGGCAGUAAGUUAAUACCUUGCUGUUUUGACGUUACCAACAGAAUAAGCACCGGCUAACUUCGUG